Molecule: long non-coding RNA, 509 nt
Organism: Phyllostomus discolor (pale spear-nosed bat)
Lineage: Eukaryota; Metazoa; Chordata; Mammalia; Chiroptera; Phyllostomidae
Exons: 2
Source: RefSeq, a predicted model, not a curated record
UAGUUUUCCAUUAAUGUUACUGAUUUAUUAAUUUUGACUGUAUCAAGUUUUUGUAAGAGGAUAUCCUUGUUGCUGAAAAAACAUACAAGUAUUUAGAGUAAAGGGGCAUGAGCCUACAACUACUCAAGUGUACAGAUCAGGAAAAAAGUGUGUGUGUGUGUGUAGAGACAGAGAAGAAUAAACCAAAUGUGGCAAAAUGUUAAUAAUUAGUGAACCUGGGUGAAUCAUUUACAGCAACACUUUGUAUUAUCCUUGCAACUCUUCUGUUAGUUUGAAAUUAUUACAAAAUGCAAAGUUAAAUCUUGUUCUUAGGAGAGAUGUUAGAGUCAGCUAGCAAUACCCCACCCAAAGGACUCCUUUCCACGUUUGUAAGGAGCAUCAGCCGAUCCCUGCUAAUACACCCGUGCUGGUAAAGAAAGCAGACAGUCUGUGAAUGUUUACAUACCGCUCUACUCAGAAAGGAUUUUGAAGGUGGAUUGCAGUAAAAGUCAUAGACACAUUUAAAAAAA